UAGGGAAUCUUCCGCAAUGGACGCAAGUCUGACGGAGCAACGCCGCGUGAGUGAAGAAGGAUUUCGGUUCGUAAAACUCUGUUGUUAGAGAAGAACAGCGCAUAGAGUAACUGUUAUGCGUGUGACGGUAUCUAACCAGAAAGCCACGGCUAACUACGUGCCAGCAGCCGCGGUAAUACGUAGGUGGCAAGCGUUGUCCGGAUUUAUUGUGCGUAAAGCGAGCGCAGGCGGUCAAUUAAGUCUGAUGUGAAAGCCCCCGGCUCAACCGGGGAGGGUCAUUGGAAACUGGUUGACUUGAGUGCAGAAGAGGAGAGUGGAAUUCCAUGUGUAGCGGUGAAAUGCGUAGAUAUAUGGAGGAACACCAGUGGCGAAGGCGACUCUCUGGUCUGUAACUGACGCUGAGGCUCGAAAGCGUGGGUAGCAAACAGG
Molecule: ribosomal RNA, 429 nt
Filed under: Bacteroidota bacterium
Lineage: Bacteria; Pseudomonadati; Bacteroidota
Description: Bacteroidetes bacterium partial 16S ribosomal RNA
Rfam family: Bacterial small subunit ribosomal RNA
Source: RNAcentral